AAAAUGAGUUCAUUGAUGAUGCAUUGCUUGAUUCACGUUCCAGAACUAAUGAAUGUUAAAGGGAUUGGUAGAUUUGAAAACAUGUGUAGGUCGAGAAUAUGAGUCGGAUUGAUUGAUAACAAGGCAUGGCUAACGUUUUUGAGUAGAAUUCGAUCAUAUUGCAGCUUAGAACUUUCAACUUGGACAUUGAUUUCAUCUAGUUUAUCUGGUGCUUUGGCUCUGAGUCCCCGCUUUCAAACCUCACCUCCAGCUUGUUCUUGAUUGUUUGCUUGAGGGCAAGCAAAGACUAAGUUUGGGGGAGUUGAUAAGUGUGUAUUUUGCAUGUUUUGAGCAUCCAUUUCUCAUCAUUUAUCAUCACUUUACAUGUUUAGGAUAGAUUUGCAUGCAUGUUGCAUAUUUGCGUUGAUUUCAGGUGAUUUGCAGCCGUUGACGAGCUAUCUGGAAGAAGCGGACCUGAUCAUGACAAAACCACUCGACCCAGAGGUCGAGUAGAAGCUUCAAGAUCUCAAGAGACCACUCGACCCCCAGGUCGAGUAGAAGACAUCACAACUUCACCUCACCACUCGACCACGAGGUCGAGCGUCUUCAUCUCCAUCACCUGACCAUCACUCGAUCACAUCACUCGACCCCGAGGUCGAGUGUCUUCACCUUCAUUGACAGACCACUACUCGACCUCAUCACUCAACCAGG
This 690-nucleotide small RNA is filed under the name Arabidopsis thaliana (thale cress). RNAcentral describes it as "ATSL201130". Lineage: Eukaryota; Viridiplantae; Streptophyta; Magnoliopsida; Brassicales; Brassicaceae. The record is from RNAcentral.